Molecule: long non-coding RNA, 2632 nt
Organism: Podarcis raffonei (Aeolian wall lizard)
Lineage: Eukaryota; Metazoa; Chordata; Lepidosauria; Squamata; Lacertidae
Exons: 3
Source: RefSeq, a predicted model, not a curated record
CUGGUGCAAUGGGAUCUGGAAGCAUCUCUAAGAGAGUGUGCAUCCGAGAGGUGAUUGUUGCAUGACAGGAGGUGGCAAGAAAGGUUUCAUCCUUGUCCAGUACUGCCUAUGAGUGGGAGGCCAUAGAGAAGCAAGAGCUUCAGGGUUUGUGUGAGAACCCAGCCCUAUAUAGUCAACCAUUACAACACUUUCAUUAUCAUGGACAUAAUACAGAACUAUGUCUUGGUGGCAUAAUCAACCAAAGUAGAGGAAUCAUGAAUAAAGUCAGCAACCGGUCUCAGAAAAACUUACCAGCUGCAAGCAGACUCCUGCUGCCUUAAGAAGAUGAUCAAAAGUGACUAAGAGCAAACACCCACGUCUAUCUCCAGCCUCACAGCAAGUCUUGCCAUUUUCUUAACCAAGCCACAGAUAUGAAUACAUCUAAAUCUUCAAAGCACUUUCCAUUGACUGAUUAAUCCUAACUACAUCCCUCAGUGAUGGAAACUAGUAUUACUGUCUCCAUUUAGCUGAUGGCUUAGAUGGCUUUGCUUAAGACGGGAUGGAGAUAGAGAUUUAGGGGGAAGAGGGGGGAUUGAACUUGGCAUUUUACAGAGUUCUUACUUUUCCUUAAAGACAACUUUCAGAUGGUCCCAAAUUGUAAGGGUGUUUAGCUCUCAUUCCCAAAAAUGCUCUUUAAAUCGGGCUUCCCCAACCUCGGCCCUCCAGAUGUUUUUGGCCUACAACUCCCAUGAUCCCUAGCUAGCAGGACCAGUGGUCAGGGAUGAUGGGAACUGUAGUCUUAAAACAUCUGGAGGGCUGAGUUUGAGGGAGCCUGCUUUAAAUAUUUGCUUUUGUAUGGAAACCCCCAUAUCCAUAGCACCAAACUGGAAAUUCCAAGACGUAUCAUAAAAUGUAAAGUUCAAAAAUACCAAAGCAAAACGCACACAUUAAGAUCCACACUUUAAUCAUAAGCAACACAUUAAAAUGCCCAUUGCAGACUCAUCACAGCACCAGGUCAAAUAAAACCACAAACAAAGCGGCCAUCAUUGACAGUUAACACGUGUGGUUUAAUGCCUGUGCAAAUCACAGAAUGGAGAGGCCUCAACAUGGCACUUUAGGGAGGGCGCUCCAUACUUCGGACACUGCAAUUGAAAACUCCAACCUCUGUGUCCACCCAUCAUAUUUCCACUGGCAGCAGAACACUGAGUAGGGUCUCUGAAGUUUAUCUUAACAUACAGAAAGAACAUAACACAGGGCUGCAAAAUCUUGGGGUUCCAGGCCAGUUCUGGCCUGCCAAGAGGUGUAAUUUGGCCCCCAAUGGCCCCCAAUCCUGGGUAAUGUCAGCAGAUGGGUGGAGGACAGAGCCUAGCCCAGUCCUGCUCCCUGCAGGGGAUGUGUUGAUGAAACACACACAGGUCAACUUUGACAGGUGGGUAGGACUAGCUACCUAUCAAUCACUUGACAUCAUCAAUGAUGUCAGAUGGGUGACUGCCUCACCUGUCUAAGGUGGCCCAUGGAGUGGGGAGAGAUAAAGAUCUGGCCUGAUGGGUCAAAAAGGUUCUUCACCCCUGCCAUAAUGGAAAAGCUUGUUUAUCAGAUAUCCAAGUUUGAGAUAGCUUUAGGGAUUAACCCCGGAACUUUUAACUGAGCUUGGGAGCAAACAGAUACUAUGUUUGUUUGUGUGGUCAACUUGUAUAUCACUUUAUAUUUCAAGAACUCUCUAAGUGGUUUACAAAACUCAGCCAAAAAAAUCAGUGUAUAUUAUAUAAAAAUAUAAAUUCCACAUUCAGAACUACUACUACUAAUGUGCACUAUUUUAAGAAGCACAGUUAAAAAUGAACAUUGUACAUAAAAUAACAUGAAUGAAAACAAAAGUGAAUCAUAUACAAAAGAAAAAAUGUCCAGACACAACCACUUAAUUACGAUAGAUAGAUUAAAAACCUCACAUUUUACGAGAGAGAGAGAGAGAGAGAGAGAGAGAGAGAGAGAGAGAGAGAGAGAGAGAUUAUUUAAUACAUAACAUCAUAAAUUCAAAAUAUGGGCAACACUGCUGAGAAAAUGAGAGGCUUUUUUUGCCUUAUGGUGAACGAGAUGCUGAAAACAGUUGACAUAAAAAGAUGGAAGCCAUGUUUCCAUUUCUCUCAAUGCUGUAAGCUUUUUGUGGAAAUUGCUGUACAAUAACACUGUGGGACAGGCCCUGUGGGAUGGUAAUGAGUGGUUUGGCAAGUAGCGAGCAUUUAUUUACCUCUUGACCUAGGAGUUGCAACUACACACAAACUCCAUCACUUUUGUAAAUUGUUUCUGCCCUGCACAGAAAUGAUUUGCCUGAGGGAACAGCUCAGUAGGACAUUAUUCUUGUUGAGGUCUCCCUCAUACAUUGCACAUAUAAGCACAUUGCAGCUGCUCCACUGAAUUCAGUCCCACUGAAUUCUGAAUAACCAUGCCUAUAAUUGGACUGAAAUCAAACCUCGGAGUUUUAUGACAAGACAGGACAACUGUAAAGAAUAUCAGUAUGCAUAUAAUGUUCUUUACCCUUGUUCUGAGGAAGGAACAGGGAGAAGGUUGCCCAAGAAAUACCGGUAUAGUGUUUUAUAUUGUGGAUUCGCGAACUGUUAUGCUCAUUUUGCCUUCAGUAAAUAAUGACUGGAUUAAA